UAACCCAGGGAAACUUGNAUUAAUNCCGUAUGANCCCUUCGGGGGAAAGAUUUAUCGNCAUUGGAUCAACCCGCGUCGGAUUAGCUAGUUGGUGAGGUAAAGGCUCACCAAGGCGACGAUCCGUAGCUGGUCUGAGAGGAUGAUCAGCCACACUGGGACUGAGACACGGCCCAGACUCCUACGGGAGGCAGCAGUGGGGAAUAUUGGACAAUGGGCGCAAGCCUGAUCCAGCCAUGCCGCGUGAGUGAUGAAGGCCUUAGGGUUGUAAAGCUCUUUCGCCGGUGAAGAUAAUGACGGUAACCGGAGAAGAAGCCCCGGCUAACUUCGUGCCAGCAGCCGCGGUAAUACGAAGGGGGCUAGCGUUGCUCGGAAUCACUGGGCGUAAAGCGCACGUAGGCGGGUCGUUAAGUCAGAGGUGAAAGCCUGGAGCUCAACUCCAGAACUGCCUUUGAUACUGGCGACCUCGAGUUCGAGAGAGGUUGGUGGAACUCCGAGUGUAGAGGUGAAA
This 508-nucleotide ribosomal RNA is filed under the name Xanthobacter autotrophicus. Its description in RNAcentral is "bacterial SSU rRNA". It matches the Rfam family "Bacterial small subunit ribosomal RNA", at positions 144 to 686 of the family's 1533-position model. Lineage: Bacteria; Pseudomonadati; Pseudomonadota; Alphaproteobacteria; Hyphomicrobiales; Xanthobacteraceae. The record is from RNAcentral.